GAAUCUAAAACGACAUAGACUCGUUACGAAUAUAUAACUUACUUUACGUAAUUCAUAUGUAGCGUAACGUUAGGAAAUAACUUUGUCACUAUCUAUGUGAUGUGUUCAGACACUAAGUUACACACUCUCUCAACGUGUCGUUCAUUUGGCAUUUAUAAUGUGUAUAAUAUGAUUGUAUCGAUAGAGAGCGUUAUUGUUAAUUCGAUACGACAGUCAGUUUUUAAAACGUUUUAUUGUACUGUAGAAGGAAUUAGCCCCAAAAGAUGUUCUUGUUGCCAUCACUCGUUCUCUUUAAAAUCACGUUGUUUUAUAAAAUCCAGUUCUGCAGGUUUAACGUGUUUUGCAAAUCUUUCUAGGAGAACGUGGGCGUGUUUACGGUUCAUUUUAACACAAUUAGUCAUUUUUAAUGUGAGGUGUAUAAAAGUUAGUUAAAAUAAUUUAACAUCUUCCUCCAUACCAAUCAUUUAAAACAAGUUAUCGUUUGGAAUAUUAACGUAAUUGUGCGUUACGUUAAUCACGCUUCAACGUGAGGAUUUGGCAACCCAACGUUAAAACAUUUGGCCGAGUUUACGAUUGGCUGUCGGUGGAAAAGACCGGUGAUAAGAGUGAGUGUGUUAUUGGCUGUCGGUUGAAUAGAGAGGCGAUACGACUUGUGUAUGAUUGGCCGUGGUCGGAACACAGGGGAUGAUCUGCAGUGUUUGAUUGGGUGUCGGCGGAACUGAGGGCGGUACGAUUAUGCGUUUGAUUGGCUGCCGUCAGAACACAGGGGCCUGAUCGGCUGUGUGUGAUUGGCUGAAGUGAAGGACGGAGGGGAAAUGUUGAGCUGAUCAGCUGGUCUCUGCAGAUAUCCGACUCCUGGAAAACAAUCUAGAGAGAAAAAGUGCUGAAUGCCAGAAUCACCGGGACGAGAAACACACACACGCCCCUGCGGAACAACCUGAUCCAGCGCGGAAAGAUUUUUACCGGCCCUGCCACCUGACUCCAGCCGAGUUAAACGCUGGACUGCACUGUAUAAUCUCCAGUCUCAUCUCUGUUUCAGUGAUGCGAAAGCGGAAAAACAGCGCAGAUCAUGAUAGCGCGUUUACGUCUUCACUGCUGGACGCCAGAUCCGAUCUAAAGCAUUGCAACAAGACGACAGACGCCGGGUCUGAAGCAGAAGGUUCGGGGAAAGCGAUGGGAAGACGUUACAAAAGGGGCGGCGUUAUGUGGAGGCUGAAGAGGAUAAUGAUCUGGGUGCUGGGAAUCUACAUCGCCAUCCCUGUCAUUAUCAAACUCUGUCCGUCAAUACAAGCCAAAAUAGUUUUUUUAAACUUUGUACGAGUACCGUAUUUUAUAGACCUGAAGAGUCCGCAGGAUCAGGGGUUAAACCACACACACAACUUCUACCUGCAGCCAGAGGAAGGAAUCAACAUUGGAGUGUGGCAUACAGUACCUGUGGUGAUGUGGAGGGAAGCUCAGGGUAAAGAUGCUGAAUGGUUUGACAAAAGCUUCCAGUCCAAUCACCCUGUCAUCCUUUAUCUCCAUGGCAACGCAGGGACGAGAGGAGGAGAUCACAGAGUUCAGCUGUACAAGGUUCUCAGUUCAUUAGGUUAUCAUGUAGUCACGUUCGAUUAUAGAGGUUGGGGUGACUCUGAGGGCAGCCCAUCCGAGGAAGGGAUGAUGUCAGACUCUCUCUUUCUCUACCAGUGGAUAAAGCAGCGGAUUGGCCAGAAGCACCUCUACAUUUGGGGUCACUCGCUGGGAACAGGAGUGGCCACAAACCUAGUGAGACGUCUGUGUGACAGGGGAACGCCACCUGAUGCUCUCAUUCUAGAAUCGCCCUUUACAAACAUCAGAGAGGAGGCAAAGAGCCACCCCUUUUCUAUGAUUUACAGAUAUCUUCCAGGCUUUGACUGGUUCUUUUUGGAUGCCAUAACUGCAAACGACAUACGGUUCGCCAGCGACGAGAAUGUUAACCACAUAUCAUGUCCGGUUCUGAUCCUGCAUGCAGAAGACGACACAGUUGUGCCCUUUCACCUGGGAAAAAAGGUGCUGUAUUGUUUUGCAUUUGUCCGCAGCUGUAUGAUUUGGCCGCCCAAAGCAAGAGUUUAAACGGUCAUAAGGUUAAAUUUAUUCCGUUCCCAAGCUCUCUGGGAUACAGACACAAGUUUAUCUACAAGAGUCCACAGCUUCCAAAUAUACUCAGUGAUUUCCUCAGUACGUCGCAUCUGCACGUGUAGUCGAGAUCACUGCCGACUGCCCUAUCUAACAGCAUCAGUCAAACACACACAAUGUACAUCAUGUGCACGGUGAACUGCAUGUGUACAUGGACACACACACAAGCAUGGACUGAAAAUGCAUCGGCUCUUUUGCAUUCCUUUAUUAACUUUAAUGCUAAGAAGAAAGUCAUUGCCAAGUAACCGAGGGAUGGGUGAUUUGUUUCGCUGUCUCCCUUUGUCAUGGUUACAGAUCUGAAGGGGCAUCAGGAGUAUGCAAUAUGCAAAUAUGUACUAAAAUGAAUGCUCACCAAGCCUCUUCCAACCAAUAAAGAACAAGUGAAGUUUUAAUGAUGGCUUUGUUGAAGCCAGACGUGGAUCAAAGUAGAAAAAGGGAUGAAGCAGGACAAUGUGCUAUUAUGAUGUCAACAUACAUGCUAAAAAUGUCUGUAGUCGCAGACCAUAGUUCACUCCUACUUUAACAAAUCUGACCGAAUAUCAGGGACCUGGUUUUAAUUCUGAAAUCCACUCAAUGUGAACAGCGACUUGUUUUAUGUUUAACUUGAAUUGUACAAUAAAAUGUCAGUCUUUUU
Molecule: RNA transcript, 2788 nt
Organism: Triplophysa dalaica
Lineage: Eukaryota; Metazoa; Chordata; Actinopteri; Cypriniformes; Nemacheilidae
Gene: abhd12
Gene name: abhydrolase domain containing 12, lysophospholipase
Exons: 13
Source: RefSeq, a predicted model, not a curated record